RNAcentral lists this ribosomal RNA (231 nucleotides) under uncultured bacterium. RNAcentral describes it as "partial 16S ribosomal RNA". It matches the Rfam family "Bacterial small subunit ribosomal RNA", at positions 15 to 237 of the family's 1533-position model. The record is from RNAcentral.
GAUCAUGCCUCAGGAUGAACGCUAGCUACAGGCUUAACACAUGCAAGUCGAGGGGCAGCGGGAUUGAAGCUUGCUUCAAUUGCCGGCGACCGGCGCACGGGUGAGUAACGCGUAUCCAACCUUCCGUACACCCAGGGAUAGCCUUUCGAAAGAAAGAUUAAUACCUGAUGGUAUGAUGAGAUUGCAUGGUAUCAUCAUUAAAGAUUUAUCGGUGUACGAUUGGGAUGCGUU